GCCGAAACUGAGUCACAUCCGAAUUUUUUUUUUGUACCCGGAAUCGAACUCAGGAACUUGUGCUUGUCAGGCAGGUGACAGAACCACUGAGAUAAAUCCCCAGCCCACAUAUGCAUUUUUGAAUAAAUCAUGGUACCAUUUAUUUGACUCUCUUUAGAAUGAUAAAUCUUGGCCUUGGAGGUAAGGUCAUUUCUUCAAACUGAUAUUUGUUAAUUGCUGGGUAGCAUAAUGGCCCGGGCCACGCCCAUGGCACGGUGAGGUCUCAGAGGUGUCUUGCAGCCCCACCCCCACCUGACGCUCUCAAAGCUGCAGCGACCGGCUCCGUUGAGACAAGACAAGCAGCUUGGGGUUCCUGCGGCCGUCCCGGGCCAUGCCCACGGCACGGUUGUGUACUGAGUGUGAGUUGGGGGCAAUCAGCAGCCCAGGGGCUAUUUUACGUCCAGUGUGAGGAAAAGUUCAGUUGAAGAGAUCCUAGUAGAUGACCUCACUUCUUUAUGAUGACACUUUGCUCAGAACCCUGUUGCCAAGCAACACAUAGCACCACUGACUGAUGCCUGCUCACUUGUCUGGAGACACAGGACAUGUCCCACUCCAGGAUGAAAAGGAGUCAAGCCUGACUCUGGAUACUCAAGCUUGCUUAGAGCUUUUGAAGAUGGAUGUAAGGGAAUCCAUGGUCAACCAUCUUGUGCGAUCCUUGCUUCAAGGGAACUGUUUGUUCCUGCACAAGUUUUUGCAAAACUACCAAGAUUUGGGACCAUGCAGCAGGAGCUGGAUCUGCUGUUGAAAAGAUGUGAUAACCUCAUGGCCUCUACAUACAGCCAAAGCCUCCAUUACUCCAGCAAAAUCGGUGGGCCUCUGGAUUAACUGAAAAACCCAGGCAGCAGCACCAGUGCCAGGUCCAACUGGAGAGCGAGAGGCAGCUCCAGCAGCAGCCUCUAAGCCAGCAGUAGAUCCACCACCCAUUCUGGGGCAAGAGUUGGCUGCAGUGCCAGCUCCAUGGCCAGGUGCACCUAGAAAGCUACCUUGGGUUAUUCCAAAGAAGAAGCAGACUGGAACUGAGACUCUGGAGCUGGAGCCAGCCACAGCAGGCCCACUUCUACCAGUGGUGCCAUCCUGGCCUUCACCUAUGACCAUGAAAACCAGGGAUUCCACCUGGUUGCAGCAGGGCAAAAAGGCCAAGGAGCAGCUGCCGGCCUCCAUCUGCACCACUGUCAUUCAUCUCCCAAGUGUGUCAUCAGCACCGUCCUCAGGCACUACAUCAUGAAAGCCUCAGGCCAUGCCCAGGUGGUGGAGCACAGGGUCUCCAGGGACCCUCAGGAGUGCCAAAUUCUGAGGAACCGUGCCUCUCUCUCUGGGCUGUGAAUCAGCGUUAUCCAGUGCCUGAUGGAAACCUGGCAAGACUUCUCCAGGUGGCUGCACCUCUCCAUUGGAGCUCCAGGUGAACCAGCACCAUAAACUGGACAAAAUAUGUGCAGAACUUGUCUGUGAAGGUAGAAAUGUCUAGAAUGUAUUUUAUAAAGUUCCCC
RNAcentral lists this long non-coding RNA (1526 nucleotides) under Heterocephalus glaber (naked mole-rat). Its description in RNAcentral is "lncRNA (ENSHGLG00000030952.2)". Lineage: Eukaryota; Metazoa; Chordata; Mammalia; Rodentia; Bathyergidae. The record is from RNAcentral.